Molecule: ribosomal RNA, 497 nt
Filed under: uncultured bacterium
Lineage: Bacteria
Description: partial 16S ribosomal RNA
Rfam family: Bacterial small subunit ribosomal RNA
Source: RNAcentral
GACGAACGCUUGCUUCGUGCCUCCUCCCUGCACGUUGAGCGCUGAAGGUUGGUACUUGUACCAACUGGAUGAGCAGCGAACGGGUGAGUAACGCGUGGGGAAUCUGCCUUUGAGCGGGGGACAACAUUUGGAAACGAAUGCUAAUACCGCAUAAAAACUUUAAACACAAGUUUUAAGUUUGAAAGAUGCAAUUGCAUCACUCAAAGAUGAUCCCGCGUUGUAUUAGCUAGUUGGUGAGGUAAAGGCUCACCAAGGCGAUGAUACAUAGCCUACCUGAGAGGGUGAGCGGCCACAUUGGGACUGAGACACGGCCCAAACUCCUACGGGAGGCAGCAGUAGGGAAUCUUCGGCAAUGGACGAAAGUCUGACCGAGCAACGCCGCGUGAGUGAAGAAGGUUUUCGGAUCGUAAAACUCUGUUGGUAGAGAAGAACGUUGGUGAGAGUGGAAAGCUCAUCAAGUGACGGUAACUACCCAGAAAGGGACGGCUAACUACGUG